UCUAUAAAAGAGGAAUUAUACCCACGAUGACUGAGGUACGAGCACAUUUCUUGAUCAGCUUACAUGGUUUUACAUACAAGGCCAGGCCACUAAAGCAACCCGAAAAAUGGGGACCAACCAAGUGAUGAUGUUGCUACUACUCUUGCCUGUCUUCUACUACCAUGCCAUGGCUACAGCAUCCUCAGGUCGUCUUCCACAAACCGCCUUGCCUCUCGUUGAGUUGGAGCACAAGACCGUGGAAGCUAAAGGCGAGGUGAAACACCUUAGCAGCAACGAAAAUG
Coffea arabica (coffee) is the source of this 281-nucleotide non-coding RNA. The record is from RefSeq and is a predicted model, not a curated record. Lineage: Eukaryota; Viridiplantae; Streptophyta; Magnoliopsida; Gentianales; Rubiaceae.